This 634-nucleotide ribosomal RNA is filed under the name Salmonella enterica. Its description in RNAcentral is "partial 23S ribosomal RNA". It matches the Rfam family "Bacterial large subunit ribosomal RNA", at positions 583 to 1220 of the family's 2925-position model. RNAcentral also lists the same sequence under 1 other name. The record is from RNAcentral. Lineage: Bacteria; Pseudomonadati; Pseudomonadota; Gammaproteobacteria; Enterobacterales; Enterobacteriaceae.
CUUUGGGGUGUGACUGCGUACCUUUUGUAUAAUGGGUCAGCGACUUAUAUUCUGUAGCAAGGUUAACCGUAUAGGGGAGCCGGAGGGAAACCGAGUCUUAACCGGGCGUUAAGUUGCAGGGUAUAGACCCGAAACCCGGUGAUCUAGCCAUGGGCAGGUUGAAGGUUGGGUAACACUAACUGGAGGACCGAACCGACUAAUGUUGAAAAAUUAGCGGAUGACCUGUGGCUGGGGGUGAAAGGCCAAUCAAACCGGGAGAUAGCUGGUUCUCCCCGAAAGCUAUUUAGGUAGCGCCUCGUGAAUUCAUCUCCGGGGGUAGAGCACUGUUUCGGCUAGGGGGCCAUCCCGGCUUACCAACCCGAUGCAAACUGCGAAUACCGGAGAAUGUUAUCACGGGAGACACACGGCGGGUGCUAACGUCCGUCGUGAAGAGGGAAACAACCCAGACCGCCAGCUAAGGUCCCAAAGUCAUGGUUAAGUGGGAAACGAUGUGGGAAGGCCCAGACAGCCAGGAUGUUGGCUUAGAAGCAGCCAUCAUUUAAAGAAAGCGUAAUAGCUCACUGGUCGAGUCGGCCUGCGCGGAAGAUGUAACGGGGCUAAACCAUGCACCGAAGCUGCGGCAGCGACGCUGAUG